CCUACGGGAGGCAGCAGUGAGGAAUAUUGGACAAUGGUCGGAAGACUGAUCCAGCCAUGCCGCGUGCAGGAUGAAGGUCCUAUGGAUUGUAAACUGCUUUUGUAAGGGAAGAAUAAGGAGUACGUGUACUUUGAUGACGGUACCUUACGAAUAAGCAUCGGCUAACUCCGUGCCAGCAGCCGCGGUAAUACGGAGGAUGCGAGCGUUAUCCGGAAUCAUUGGGUUUAAAGGGUCUGUAGGCGGGCUUGUAAGUCAGAGGUGAAGGCGCUUAGCUCAACUAAGCAACUGCCUUUGAAACUGUUAGUCUUGAAUGGUUGUGAAGUAGUUGGAAUGUGUAGUGUAGCGGUGAAAUGCUUAGAUAUUACACAGAACACCGAUAGCGAAGGCAUAUUACUAACAAUUAAUUGACGCUGAUGGACGAAAGCGUGGGGAGCGAACAGGAUUAGAUACCCUGGUAGUCCACGCUGUAAACGAUGGAUACUAGCUGUUUGGUUGUAAGACUGAGUGGCUAAGCGAAAGUGAUAAGUAUCCCACCUGGGGAGUACGCACGCAAGUGUGAAACUCAAAGGAAUUGACGGAAACUCAAAGGAAUUGACGG
Molecule: ribosomal RNA, 598 nt
Filed under: uncultured bacterium
Lineage: Bacteria
Description: bacterial SSU rRNA
Rfam family: Bacterial small subunit ribosomal RNA
Source: RNAcentral